RNAcentral lists this ribosomal RNA (703 nucleotides) under Salmonella enterica subsp. enterica serovar Paratyphi B var. L(+) tartrate +. RNAcentral's name for it is "partial 23S ribosomal RNA". It matches the Rfam family "Bacterial large subunit ribosomal RNA", at positions 711 to 1410 of the family's 2925-position model. Lineage: Bacteria; Pseudomonadati; Pseudomonadota; Gammaproteobacteria; Enterobacterales; Enterobacteriaceae. The record is from RNAcentral.
AGACCCGAAACCCGGUGAUCUAGCCAUGGGCAGGUUGAAGGUUGGGUAACACUAACUGGAGGACCGAACCGACUAAUGUUGAAAAAUUAGCGGAUGACCUGUGGCUGGGGGUGAAAGGCCAAUCAAACCGGGAGAUAGCUGGUUCUCCCCGAAAGCUAUUUAGGUAGCGCCUCGUGAAUUCAUCUCCGGGGGUAGAGCACUGUUUCGGCUAGGGGGCCAUCCCGGCUUACCAACCCGAUGCAAACUGCGAAUACCGGAGAAUGUUAUCACGGGAGACACACGGCGGGUGCUAACGUCCGUCGUGAAGAGGGAAACAACCCAGACCGCCAGCUAAGGUCCCAAAGUCAUGGUUAAGUGGGAAACGAUGUGGGAAGGCCCAGACAGCCAGGAUGUUGGCUUAGAAGCAGCCAUCAUUUAAAGAAAGCGUAAUAGCUCACUGGUCGAGUCGGCCUGCGCGGAAGAUGUAACGGGGCUAAACCAUGCACCGAAGCUGCGGCAGCGACGCUUAUGCGUUGUUGGGUAGGGGAGCGUUCUGUAAGCCUGUGAAGGUGUGUCGUGAGGCAUGCUGGAGGUAUCAGAAGUGCGAAUGCUGACAUAAGUAACGAUAAAGCGGGUGAAAAGCCCGCUCGCCGGAAGACCAAGGGUUCCUGUCCAACGUUAAUCGGGGCAGGGUGAGUCGACCCCUAAGGCGAGGCCGAAAGGC